Molecule: non-coding RNA, 29 nt
Filed under: Rattus norvegicus (Norway rat)
Lineage: Eukaryota; Metazoa; Chordata; Mammalia; Rodentia; Muridae
Source: RNAcentral
UCCACACGACUUGAUGCCUACCUCAGGAC